RNAcentral lists this ribosomal RNA (253 nucleotides) under uncultured bacterium. RNAcentral describes it as "partial 16S ribosomal RNA". It matches the Rfam family "Bacterial small subunit ribosomal RNA", at positions 524 to 776 of the family's 1533-position model. The record is from RNAcentral.
UACGGAGGGUGCAAGCGUUAUCCGGAUUCACUGGGUUUAAAGGGUGCGUAGGCGGACAGGUAAGUCAGUGGUGAAAUCUCCGGGCUUAACCCGGAAACUGCCAUUGAUACUAUAAGUCUUGAAUUAUCUGGAGGUAAGCGGAAUAUGUCAUGUAGCGGUGAAAUGCUUAGAUAUGACAUAGAACACCAAUUGCGAAGGCAGCUUACUACGGAUCGAUUGACACUGAGGCACGAAAGCGUGGGGAUCAAACAGG